GUAAUUUGCAGAGGAUGCUUUUGGCGAGGUGCCUUCCGAGUUCCCUGGAACGGGACGCCACAGAGGGUGAGAGCCCCGUCUGGCGGACACCGAGCCUCUGUAAAGCUCCUUCGACGAGUCGAGUAGUUUGGGAAUGCUGCUCAAAAUGGGAGGUAUAUGUCUUCUAAAGCUAAAUAUUGGCCAGAGACCGAUAGCGCACAAGUAGAGUGAUCGAAAGAUGAAAAGCACUUUGAAAAGAGAGUUAAAAAGUACGUGAAAUUGUUGAAAGGGAAGCGCCUAUGACCAGACUUGGGCCCGGUGAAUCACCCAGCGUUCUCGCUGGGGCACUUUGCCAGGCACAGGCCAGCAUCAGUUUGGCGCGGGGGAGAAAGGCUUCGGGAAUGUGGCUCCCUCGGGAGUGUUAUAGCCCGCCGCGUAAUGCCCUGCGCCGGACUGAGGUACGCGCAUCGCAAGGAUGCUGGCGUAAUGGUCAUCAGCGACCCGUCUUGAAACACGGACCAAGGAGUCGUCUUCGUAUGCGAGUGUUCGGGUGUCAAACCCCUACGCGUAAUGAAAGUGAACGCAGGUGAGAGCUUCGGCGCAUCACCGACCGAUCCUGAUGUUCUCGGAUGGAUUUGAGUAAGAGCAUACGGGGCCGGACCCGAAAGAAGGUGAACUAUGCCUGUAUAGGGUGAAGCC
This 678-nucleotide ribosomal RNA is filed under the name Ophiocordyceps caloceroides. RNAcentral's name for it is "eukaryotic LSU rRNA". It matches the Rfam family "Eukaryotic large subunit ribosomal RNA", at positions 145 to 853 of the family's 3401-position model. Lineage: Eukaryota; Fungi; Ascomycota; Sordariomycetes; Hypocreales; Ophiocordycipitaceae. The record is from RNAcentral.